AGAGUUUGAUCCUGGCUCAGGAUGAACGCUGGCGGCGUGCCUAAUACAUGCAAGUCGAGCGAACAGAUAAGGAGCUUGCUCCUUUGACGUUAGCGGCGGACGGGUGAGUAACACGUGGGUAACCUACCUAUAAGACUGGGAUAACUUCGGGAAACCGGAGCUAAUACCGGAUAAUAUUUCGAACCGCAUGGUUCGAUAGUGAAAGAUGGUUUUGCUAUCACUUAUAGAUGGACCCGCGCCGUAUUAGCUAGUUGGUAAGGUAACGGCUUACCAAGGCGACGAUACGUAGCCGACCUGAGAGGGUGAUCGGCCACACUGGAACUGAGACACGGUCCAGACUCCUACGGGAGGCAGCAGUAGGGAAUCUUCCGCAAUGGGCGAAAGCCUGACGGAGCAACGCCGCGUGAGUGAUGAAGGUCUUCGGAUCGUAAAACUCUGUUAUUAGGGAAGAACAUACGUGUAAGUAACUGUGCACGUCUUGACGGUACCUAAUCAGAAAGCCACGGCUAACUACGUGCCAGCAGCCGCGGUAAUACGUAGGUGGCAAGCGUUAUCCGGAAUUAUUGGGCGUAAAGCGCGCGUAGGCGGUUUUUUAAGUCUGAUGUGAAAGCCCACGGCUCAACCGUGGAGGGUCAUUGGAAACUGGAAAACUUGAGUGCAGAAGAGGAAAGUGGAAUUCCAUGUGUAGCGGUGAAAUGCGCAGAGAUAUGGAGGAACACCAGUGGCGAAGGCGACUUUCUGGUCUGUAACUGACGCUGAUGUGCGAAAGCGUGGGGAUCAAACAGGAUUAGAUACCCUGGUAGUCCACGCCGUAAACGAUGAGUGCUAAGUGUUAGGGGGUUUCCGCCCCUUAGUGCUGCAGCUAACGCAUUAAGCACUCCGCCUGGGGAGUACGACCGCAAGGUUGAAACUCAAAGGAAUUGACGGGGACCCGCACAAGCGGUGGAGCAUGUGGUUUAAUUCGAAGCAACGCGAAGAACCUUACCAAAUCUUGACAUCCUUUGACAACUCUAGAGAUAGAGUUUUCCCCUUCGGGGGACAAAGUGACAGGUGGUGCAUGGUUGUCGUCAGCUCGUGUCGUGAGAUGUUGGGUUAAGUCCCGCAACGAGCGCAACCCUUAAGCUUAGUUGCCAUCAUUAAGUUGGGCACUCUAAGUUGACUGCCGGUGACAAACCGGAGGAAGGUGGGGAUGACGUCAAAUCAUCAUGCCCCUUAUGAUUUGGGCUACACACGUGCUACAAUGGACAAUACAAAGGGUAGCGAAACCGCGAGGUCAAGCAAAUCCCAUAAAGUUGUUCUCAGUUCGGAUUGUAGUCUGCAACUCGACUACAUGAAGCUGGAAUCGCUAGUAAUCGUAGAUCAGCAUGCUACGGUGAAUACGUUCCCGGGUCUUGUACACACCGCCCGUCACACCACGAGAGUUUGUAACACCCGAAGCCGGUGGAGUAACCAUUUGGAGCUAGCCGUCGAAGGUGGGACAAAUGAUUGGGGUGAAGUCGUAACAAGGUAACC
Molecule: ribosomal RNA, 1512 nt
Filed under: Staphylococcus sp.
Lineage: Bacteria; Bacillati; Bacillota; Bacilli; Caryophanales; Staphylococcaceae
Description: bacterial SSU rRNA
Rfam family: Bacterial small subunit ribosomal RNA
Source: RNAcentral